CCUUUUUUCCUAAAUGCGAAAGAAAACGUGAGAAAGAGAGAGAGAGAGAGAGAGAGAGAGAGAAAGAAAGAGGGAUGGACUUCGGGCUAGCAGCGCUGAAGCUGGUGUGCGCUCAGCUGAGGGAGGCCAAGGAAACACAGUCGCAAAACUCCUUCACUCUUGGCGGCAUUCUCUUCCAACGCGCCUGGUUACAGGGCGUUCUGGUCUCCACCUCCGACGCGGGAGCCCCCUUGCUUCUCGACGACGGCACCGGCGUUAUCCACCUCUCCCUCUCCGGCGACUUCCGUCUCCGCCCUUGGAAGACAGGGAUGUAUGUAAUGGUGGUUGGAGGUUACAUUGCGAGUUUGGGUGAGCCCCCCAUGAUUAAGGUUCACAAGAUUGUUGAUCUUUCAGCAUUCCCGGAUCGAGAGGCAAUGUGGUAUCUUGAAGUUAUUGAGGCAUACAAACUGUUCUAUGGUCCCAAUUGAAGAACUUGUAUGUUUCUGUUCAGAUCAUAUAGUGGAGAGAUAGUGAACUUAGUAACCCCAUAUGCAGAUUGUAGCCCCAUGAUGCUGAUUGAAAUUGCCACAAAGCUAGAAGGGCAGCACAUUAUCAACCAUCACAAGCCAUCCCUGUCGUACUAUUGAUUCAUGUUUCAACCAGGCUUAAGUAACUCUGAUUUGAUUCAAGCAGAAGUACUAGAAGGGCAGCACUUAACUAACCACGGCAACCCAUCCGCCCCAAGCCCUUUCUUUUGCCAGUGAAGUGCAUUAAGCAAGCAAAUGUUUCUGAUGACAUGCCUUUAUCUACAUGCAAUUUCCCCAAGGUCACAUCAAAGAUCCACUUGAUUUCUAUCAGAAAAUCUACCUUGCUAAAGGGGGGCUGGAGCAAUGUUAGCUGGCUGGGCUCAUCAGAUCAUCGUUUUGAUGUACAAGGCAUAAAUUGAAUUUUUGCAUUGUUGUAAUGACAGCUGAAAUUCCCACAUUCCUUGCAGGAUCCAGAAUGGUGUUCCUCCUAGCAAUAUUCUGUGCAGGAGUCUGCUGUAAUUGUAUGGGACAUACAUCUCAAAAGUAGAUCACAAUUAUGACACUUUCAAGAAAGAUUAUUCCCCAAAGCAUGAUGCAGAGAAUCUGUAAUAAAAGAUUAAAUAUUAGCAUCUGUGAAUGAACAUCAUUCAUAAAUUUUUAGCUCUUUCCAAGCAAAAGUUCAAUUAACAUGUCGUAUUCACACA
Quercus robur (English oak) is the source of this 1210-nucleotide RNA transcript. RefSeq lists it as uncharacterized. The record is from RefSeq and is a predicted model, not a curated record. The transcript is spliced from 4 exons. Lineage: Eukaryota; Viridiplantae; Streptophyta; Magnoliopsida; Fagales; Fagaceae.